GGGAGCCAAACCCAGGUCCUCUGCAAGAACAGCCACAAAACAACAUUUGGUGCCAUGAAGCUCACCAGGCUCUCUACAUAGUUCCUCCUGCCACCGGAGGGCAGGUGGCCUGAGACACUCAGAGACCCUGAGCUGGACCGACAGCACACUUUCCAUCUACCCAUGUGCUGAGAUCCCACACAACACUGGCUACCGUUGAUACAAGAGAUGUCUCAAAAAAGAAAAGACAUUCCUGUUGUUGUCGGAACACAAUCCAAGAAUGGAGUCAUGUGGAAAUGCUGAGUGCUGUGAGAAAAUUCCAAGAAAACAAGAUCUUGUGACCUGAGUUUCUUCAAAACACAGAAUUGUUCUUGGAAUGUGUUUCCAUGCUCCUUCCAGGUGUGGUGGAUAGGAGUGCGUUACUUCAGCUUUUGUUACUUGAAUGCCUCUCUGGAAAAGUGUGUUUUUGCUGCGUG
This 455-nucleotide long non-coding RNA is filed under the name Cricetulus griseus (Chinese hamster). Its description in RNAcentral is "lncRNA (ENSCGRG00015033877.1)". Lineage: Eukaryota; Metazoa; Chordata; Mammalia; Rodentia; Cricetidae. The record is from RNAcentral.